ACUCUAGUUGUUUCAUUUCACCAUCUGUAAAAUGUAGAUAACCAUUAGAAGUACAUAGAUAGUUCAGGAACUUAGCUAGUGGCAAAAUGAGAGCAUCAAAUUAAUAAUAUCCUUAUUUUACAGUUUAAAAUUAUAAUAGUUAAUAAUCUAAUUUAUAGUGUCAACAAAAAUAUGACCCCUAGGAAUAAAACUAAUAUCUGCUCCUCCCCACCCCCAAAUUCAAACUACCUAAAUAAUUAUGAAAGGAUAUAAAUUAGAAAACUUUAGGAUAUAACUUAUAAAACUUCUGAUCAUCCCCAACAUGAUCAUAUCAUUUACAUAUACAUUUUUUUUUUCUUGAGACCGAGUUUUGCUCUUGUUGCACAGGCUGCAGUGCAAUGGCACGACCUCAGUUCGCCACAACAUCUACCUCCCUGGUUUAACCAAUGCUCCUGCCUCAGCCUCCCAAGUAGCUGGGAUUACAGUUUUGUAGGUGAAGUCAAAAAUGUGUCCCACUGGACUAAAAUCAAAGCUUCAGUGGGGCUGUGUUCUUGUUGGAGGCUUUGGAGAAUCGGCUUCUUUGCCCUUUCCAGCUCGUAGAAGUUACCUGUGCUCCUCAGAUCGUGACCUCCAUCCUCCAUCUUGAAAGUCACACAUGCUGCUAUCACUCUGGUUCUUCCUCUUCGGUCUCCCACAUUAAGGAUCCUCUUGAUUACUACAGAUCCAUCCAGCUAAUCCAGGACGAUCUCCCUAUCUUAAGGUCAUCUGCAAUCAUUGAAGUUUACUUUCAGAAAUAAUUCUUCUUUGUUGUAUAACUAACAUAGUCACAGAUUCCAGAGCUUAGGAUGUGAACGUCUUUGGGGAACCACUAUUCUGCUUACUAGAAAAUGUAAUAAAGACAAAUAAAGAAAAUUUGUUGAAAAAAGUAAGACAAUAAUUUAUUCAAUAAAAAUUGUUGAUAAGUAAAAAGCAUAGAUAAAACUACAAAAUGUGGAAAAAGGAAAUGAGUUCCUCCUCUCACAUUAUACAUUAAUUUAACAAAGAAUGCAUUAAAAUGUAUAUGUACAGAUCUUCCUGAGAACUAGAAUAGUUACAGAAGAAUAUAUAGAGGAAUUCAAGUAAAAUAGAAAGCAUAAAGGAAAAUAUUAGCUGAUUUCACUGUAAUACAUUAGUAUUAUAUUACUACAGUAUAAAGUUUAUAUAUCAAAAAAAUCAUAAAUUAAAUUAAAAGAUAGACAACAAAUCAUGCUAUUUACUUGGAUUUAAAUGUCAUAUUCUUAUUUCUACUAUGUAAAGAGUUGCUAUAAAUAAUUUUAAAGCAUAUAUACCAAAAGCAAAAAUGAUCAAAGAAAAUGAAUAUGUUGAAGAGACACAAAAAAAUAGUAGUUUUGUCCCACCAGUAAUCAAAGAAAUGUCGUUUCUAACAAUAAGAAAAUAUAAUAUCUCAUUUGUUAAAUUGAAAUUUUUCAUUGUAUCAUAACUUUAACAGUGAUGGUGAAGAAACAGCAUAUUUGGAUACUUUCAAAUAACUGCUGGAAUAAAGCAAUUAAAAAUAUAUACCAAUAUUUUGUAUAGUAUUUGUAUUAUAUUUUAUUUGGUCUGAUAAUUACAAGUCCACAAAAACAAUCAGAAUGACUCAAAAGAUAAUUUAAGCAAAUUAAAUAUUAGGAACAAGCUAUGGGCGACUGGACAAAUUAAGGACUUUCUUGGGUACAUCCUAUUUGUUCAGCAUUGAAUGAGUUCCUUUAUAUAUUUUAUCUUUAAUAUUUAGAAUAACAAGGAGUGAUAUAAUAGACUGAUACUUAAUCCUAAACAAUAACUCAUAGAGAGAUAUUCAAUGAAAUAAAGUUUUUCAGAAUAUAUAAUGAAAUGCUCCCUUAUUUCUUUAUCCAGUAAACUGUAUGGCCAUCUUGCACUAACUUAUAUGCCUGAUGUUUUGUUUGUUGCUAGAAAGACAACAGAUAAUAAGUUUCAUGCAUCUACUCUCAUGGCGUUUACAAAGUCAAUAAACCAAUAAUUGCAAGGGUUUGGGAUCUAAAUGUGUU
Molecule: long non-coding RNA, 2024 nt
Filed under: Callithrix jacchus (white-tufted-ear marmoset)
Lineage: Eukaryota; Metazoa; Chordata; Mammalia; Primates; Cebidae
Description: lncRNA (ENSCJAG00000077003.1)
Source: RNAcentral